RNAcentral lists this ribosomal RNA (254 nucleotides) under uncultured bacterium. RNAcentral describes it as "partial 16S ribosomal RNA". It matches the Rfam family "Bacterial small subunit ribosomal RNA", at positions 524 to 776 of the family's 1533-position model. The record is from RNAcentral.
UACGGAGGGUGCGAGCGUUGUCCGGAAUCACUGGGCGUAAAGAGCUCGUAGGCGGUGUGUCACGUCGGCCGUGAAAACCUGCAGCUUAGCUGUGGGCGUGCGGUCGAUACGGGCAUCACUGGAGUUCGGCAGGGGAGACUGGAAUUCCUGGUGUAGCGGUGAAAUGCGCAGAUAUCAGGAGGAACACCGGUGGCGAAGGCGGGUCUCUGGGCCGUAACUGACGCUGAGGAGCGAAAGCGUGGGGAGCGAACAGG